AGGGCAGACCAGGUAGCUACUCCGCCCCGAUUUUACAUCGGGACGGGGAGGAAAGUCCGGGCUCCGGAGGACAGGAUGUUCUUCUCCGGUGGAGCCGGAGGGAUCCCCGCAAGGGGAGGAAAGUGCCACAGAAAUUAUACCGUCCUCCCGAUUUAUAUCGGGGGGGUAAGGGUGAAAUAGUGUGGUAAGAGCACACUUCCCACGAUGUAACAGGGGAAGGUAAACCCCAUCCGGAGCAAAGCCAAGUAAGAGGGGAGAGUGUGUCCGCUCCAUUAACCCUCGGGUAGGCUGCUGAGAUAAAUGGCUACCGAAUACAGAACCCGGCUUAUGGUCUACCCUGGGU
This 343-nucleotide RNase P RNA is filed under the name Candidatus Omnitrophota bacterium. RNAcentral describes it as "Candidatus Omnitrophica bacterium RNase P RNA component class A". It matches the Rfam family "Bacterial RNase P class A". Rfam says of the family: Ribonuclease P (RNase P) is a ubiquitous endoribonuclease, found in archaea, bacteria and eukarya as well as chloroplasts and mitochondria. Its best characterised activity is the generation of mature 5'-ends of tRNAs by cleaving the 5'-leader elements of precursor-tRNAs. The record is from RNAcentral. Lineage: Bacteria; Pseudomonadati; Candidatus Omnitrophota.